This 432-nucleotide ribosomal RNA is filed under the name uncultured bacterium. RNAcentral describes it as "bacterial SSU rRNA". It matches the Rfam family "Bacterial small subunit ribosomal RNA", at positions 338 to 787 of the family's 1533-position model. The record is from RNAcentral.
CCUACGGGAGGCAGCAGUGGGGAAUAUUGCACAAUGGGGGAAACCCUGAUGCAGCGAUGCCGCGUGGAGGAAGAAGGUUUUCGGAUUGUAAACUCCUUUUAUCAGGGACGAUAAUGACGGUACCUGAAGAAAAAGCUCCGGCUAACUACGUGCCAGCAGCCGCGGUAAUACGUAGGGAGCGAGCGUUGUCCGGAAUUACUGGGUGUAAAGGGAGCGUAGGCGGGACGGCAAGUCAGAUGUGAAAACUGAGGGCUCAACCUUCAGACUGCAUUUGAAACUGCUGUUCUUGAGUGAAGUAGAGGUAAGCGGAAUUCCUAGUGUAGCGGUGAAAUGCGUAGAUAUUAGGAGGAACAUCGGUGGCGAAGGCGGCUUACUGGGCUUUUACUGACGCUGAGGCUCGAAAGCGUGGGGAGCAAACAGGAUUAGAUACCC